GACGAACGCUGGCGGCGUGCUUAACACAUGCAAGUCGAACGGAAAGGCCCUGCUUUUGUGGGGUUCUCGAGUGGCGAACGGGUGAGUAACACGUGAGUAACCUGCCCUUGACUUUGGGAUAACUUCAGGAAACUGGGGCUAAUACCGGAUAGGAGCUCCUGCUGCAUGGUGGGGGUUGGAAAGUUUCGGCGGUUGGGGAUGGACUCGCGGCUUAUCAGCUUGUUGGUGGGGUAGUGGCUUACCUAGGCUUUGACGGGUAGCCGGCCUGAGAGGGUGACCGGCCACAUUGGGACUGAGAUACGGCCCAGACUCCUACGGGAGGCAGCAGUGGGGAAUAUUGCACAAUGGGCGGAAGCCUGAUGCAGCAACGCCGCGUGCGGGAUGACGGCCUUCGGGUUGUAAACCGCUUUCGCCUGUGACGAAGCGUGAGUGACGGUAAUGAGUAAAGAAGCACCGGCUAACUACGUG
Molecule: ribosomal RNA, 468 nt
Filed under: uncultured bacterium
Lineage: Bacteria
Description: partial 16S ribosomal RNA
Rfam family: Bacterial small subunit ribosomal RNA
Source: RNAcentral